GUUACGGUGCCGGAGUGGUCAAAAGGGCAAGUCUAAGACAUACUUGAUUUUGUCGGUUCGAAUCCGACUCGUAGCG
This is a transfer RNA of Glarea lozoyensis ATCC 20868, 76 nucleotides long. It matches the Rfam family "tRNA". From Rfam's summary of the family: Transfer RNA (tRNA) molecules are approximately 80 nucleotides in length. Lineage: Eukaryota; Fungi; Ascomycota; Leotiomycetes; Helotiales; Helotiaceae. The record is from Rfam.